AUUAUUGUGCAGAUUGGCCAAGUGUUCGUCGAUCUGCAAGCCGGUUUAAGAGCUGGAUUGGCCGGUCCAAUUCAACACGGAGCUGAGUGUAUGUUGAAACUUUUCGUCCAUCAAGCAUCGCCUUCAGCUGCCCCGACGAAUUCCUUGCCUUCGCCAACCUCCACUCCUCCAUGAGGUACGCAUACAUUUCUGUUGCUAUUGCUCAUACUUUGUUCCCGAUGUAUUCCUUUGACUAAUGAACCUAGCAGCAUCAAAGUCUAGAAUAUCCACACCAAAAUGCAUUGGCUUGCUGAACCCUUGUGCUGGUUAGAAAUUCAGAAUUGUGAUAUUGUGCUGGGAGCACUCUUGCUACAGUUAUCAGUUAUUAUUCAGCUUUGCAUCUUUUCAGGUUUAAAAGUUGGUUUACAUUGAAACUAUUAAGCAAGUAUCAAAUUGAGUGCAUAGUGUGCAAUUUGUGUUUAGUAAUCUAGUAGCUCAUAAGCAUUAGACCAUAUGUUUUCUUAUAAGCAAAUUAUAUUGAUGGUUGCAAGACAAGUUAAAAUAUACUAGUGCUACCUUGAUUUUUAUACUGCUUGCCAUUUAUUUCUUUGUUUGAUGUUUUAUAUGCUUCUGGUGCGUGAUCCUUCUAAUGCUAGGUGAUUUGUUUCUUGGAAUUUGGAAGAGGAAGACGAUGAAGCAUGGUUGUUAUCUAUCAAUAUGCCUUGUGUUCUGGUUGUACUUCAUAGCUAGUUACAUUGUAUUCUGUACUGGUCUGGUUGUAUGAACACUAUGUAAAGAUUGUAAUAGGCUAAUUUUGGCUAUCAUUUCAAGUAUAUAUUUCUGUUUCAUUUGAAAUAUUUGUCAUCUAUGUACUGUGAAAAUGUGAGAAAUAGAAAACUGAUGAGUUGGACCUACUUAUUGGUAGAGGCCAAGGCCCAAAAC
RNAcentral lists this long non-coding RNA (921 nucleotides) under Triticum aestivum (bread wheat). Its description in RNAcentral is "long non-coding RNA (TAES_LNC003829)". Lineage: Eukaryota; Viridiplantae; Streptophyta; Magnoliopsida; Poales; Poaceae. The record is from RNAcentral.